Molecule: ribosomal RNA, 248 nt
Filed under: uncultured bacterium
Lineage: Bacteria
Description: partial 16S ribosomal RNA
Rfam family: Bacterial small subunit ribosomal RNA
Source: RNAcentral
GAUCAUGGCUCAGGAUGAACGCUAGCUACAGGCUUAACACAUGCAAGUCGAGGGGCAGCAUUUUAGUUUGCUUGCAAACUAAAGAUGGCGACCGGCGCACGGGUGAGUAACACGUAUCCAACCUGCCGAUAACUCGGGGAUAGCCUUUCGAAAGAAAGAUUAAUGUCCGAUAGUAUAUUUUCUCCGCAUGGCGAGAAUAUUAAAGAAUUUCGGUUAUCGAUGGGGAUGCGUUCCAUUAGUUUGUUGGG